GUAGGUGGCAAGCGUUGUCCGGAAUUAUUGGGCGUAAAGCGCGCGCAGGCGGUCCUUUAAGUCUGAUGUGAAAGCCCACGGCUCAACCGUGGAGGGUCAUUGGAAACUGGGGGACUUGAGUACAGAAGAGGAAAGCGGAAUUCCAAGUGUAGCGGUGAAAUGCGUAGAGAUUUGGAGGAACACCAGUGGCGAAGGCGGCUUUCUGGUCUGUAACUGACGCUGAGGCGCGAAAGCGUGGGGAGCAAACAGGAUUAGAUACCCUGGUAGUCCACGCCGUAAACGAUGAGUGCUAAGUGUUAGGGGGUUUCCCGCCCCCUUAGUGCUGCAGCUAACGCAUUAAGCACUCCGCCUGGGGGAGUACGGCCGCAAGGCUG
This 374-nucleotide ribosomal RNA is filed under the name uncultured organism. RNAcentral's name for it is "partial 16S ribosomal RNA". It matches the Rfam family "Bacterial small subunit ribosomal RNA", at positions 527 to 896 of the family's 1533-position model. The record is from RNAcentral.